RNAcentral lists this ribosomal RNA (253 nucleotides) under uncultured bacterium. RNAcentral describes it as "partial 16S ribosomal RNA". It matches the Rfam family "Bacterial small subunit ribosomal RNA", at positions 524 to 776 of the family's 1533-position model. The record is from RNAcentral.
UACGAAGGGGGCUAGCGUUGCUCGGAAUCACUGGGCGUAAAGCGCACGUAGGCGGCUUCUUAAGUCAGGGGUGAAAUCCUGGAGCUCAACUCCAGAACUGCCUUUGAUACUGGGAGGCUCGAGUCCGGGAGAGGUGAGUGGAACUGCGAGUGUAGAGGUGAAAUUCGUAGAUAUCUGGAGGAACACCGGUGGCGAAGGCGGCAUCCUGGACCGACAUUGACGCUGAGGCGCGAAAGCCAGGGGAGCAAACGGG